This 69-nucleotide transfer RNA is filed under the name Bos taurus (domestic cattle). It matches the Rfam family "tRNA". Rfam says of the family: Transfer RNA (tRNA) molecules are approximately 80 nucleotides in length. Their secondary structure includes four short double-helical elements and three loops (D, anti-codon, and T loops). Further hydrogen bonds mediate the characteristic L-shaped molecular structure. tRNAs have two regions of fundamental functional importance: the anti-codon, which is responsible for specific mRNA codon recognition, and the 3' end, to which the tRNAs corresponding amino acid is attached (by aminoacyl-tRNA synthetases). tRNAs cope with the degeneracy of the genetic code in two manners: having more than one tRNA (with a specific anti-codon) for a particular amino acid; and 'wobble' base-pairing, i.e. permitting non-standard base-pairing at the 3rd anti-codon position. The record is from Rfam by way of RNAcentral. Lineage: Eukaryota; Metazoa; Chordata; Mammalia; Artiodactyla; Bovidae.
CCUGGUGGCUCAGACGGUAAAGCAUCUGCCUACAGUGCCGGAGACCCAGGUUCGAUUCCUGGGUCAGGA